Molecule: long non-coding RNA, 438 nt
Filed under: Mytilus galloprovincialis (Mediterranean mussel)
Lineage: Eukaryota; Metazoa; Mollusca; Bivalvia; Mytilida; Mytilidae
Source: RNAcentral
AAUGUAUGUAAUUAGACUCCUGAUGAGUCGAAAUUGGAUGAGUCGAAAUUUCGGUUGAGUCGAACUAAAUUUACGAUCCCAAGGUUAACAAAAGAAUUAAACAUUCAUUAUUUAUCUCGAACUUAUACACACAUGUCAAAACAUGACCUCCGGCAUUUAAAUGGAUUGAAGAGUUAAUCUGACAAUACACGUGUAAUUAAAUUUCCAGUCACUGACCACUAUAUUGAUUUAUGACAUGCUAUUUCCACGAGUGUUUACCUAAGAUUAUCUUUUAUAGAAUUUUUAUAAAUAAUUAGUGAUGCAUUGUUAAUGUUCAUGAAAAAGUAUUUAAAAUGUUUACAAAACAAUUAAUUGUGAUUUACACUAAUGAGCUUGGGUGUGUAUAAAGUAAGGAUUAUGACUUCCGUUGAUGAUCACCUAAAAACUACUCAAUCGGCG